UGGGGAAUCUUGCGCAAUGGGGGAAACCCUGACGCAGCGACGCCGCGUGCGGGAUGAAGGCCUUCGGGUUGUAAACCGCUUUUGAUUGGGAGCAAGCUUUCGGGUGAGUGUACCUUUCGAAUAAGCGCCGGCUAACUACGUGCCAGCAGCCGCGGUAAUACGUAGGGCGCAAGCGUUAUCCGGAAUUAUUGGGCGUAAAGAGCUUGUAGGCGGUUCGUCGCGUCUGGUGUGAAAGCCCAUCGCUUAACGGUGGGUUUGCGCCGGGUACGGGCGGGCUAGAGUGCAGUAGGGGAGACUGGAAUUCCCGGUGUAACGGUGGAAUGUGUAGAUAUCGGGAAGAACACCAAUGGCGAAGGCAGGUCUCUGGGCUGUUACUGACGCUGAGAAGCGAAAGCGUGGGGAGCGAACAGG
This 411-nucleotide ribosomal RNA is filed under the name Verrucomicrobiota bacterium. RNAcentral's name for it is "Verrucomicrobia bacterium partial 16S ribosomal RNA". It matches the Rfam family "Bacterial small subunit ribosomal RNA", at positions 355 to 776 of the family's 1533-position model. Lineage: Bacteria; Pseudomonadati; Verrucomicrobiota. The record is from RNAcentral.